AGAGUUUGAUUAUGGCUCAGGAUGAACGCUGGCGGCGUGCCUAACACAUGCAAGUCGAACGGACCUAUCAUUAACAGAGACUUCGGUUGAAGUUGGUUUAGGUAGUGGCGGACGGGUGAGUAACGCGUGGAGAACCUGCCCUGUACUGGGGGAUAACAGUGAGAAAUCACUGCUAAUACCGCAUAAGCGCACGGAACCGCAUGGUUUUGUGUGAAAAACUCCGGUGGUACAGGAUGGCUCCGCGUUGGAUUAGCCAGUUGGCGGGGUAACGGCCCACCAAAGCUACGAUCCAUAGCCGGCCUGAGAGGGUGAACGGCCACAUUGGGACUGAGACACGGCCCAGACUCCUACGGGAGGCAGCAGUGGGGAAUAUUGCACAAUGGGGGAAACCCUGAUGCAGCGACGCCGCGUGAAGGAAGAAGUAUCUCGGUAUGUAAACUUCUAUCAGCAGGGAAGAAAAUGACGGUACCUGACUAAGAAGCCCCGGCUAACUACGUGCCAGCAGCCGC
RNAcentral lists this ribosomal RNA (509 nucleotides) under uncultured bacterium. RNAcentral describes it as "bacterial SSU rRNA". It matches the Rfam family "Bacterial small subunit ribosomal RNA", at positions 8 to 518 of the family's 1533-position model. The record is from RNAcentral.